RNAcentral lists this transfer RNA (91 nucleotides) under Fistulifera solaris. It matches the Rfam family "tRNA". Rfam says of the family: Transfer RNA (tRNA) molecules are approximately 80 nucleotides in length. Their secondary structure includes four short double-helical elements and three loops (D, anti-codon, and T loops). Further hydrogen bonds mediate the characteristic L-shaped molecular structure. tRNAs have two regions of fundamental functional importance: the anti-codon, which is responsible for specific mRNA codon recognition, and the 3' end, to which the tRNAs corresponding amino acid is attached (by aminoacyl-tRNA synthetases). tRNAs cope with the degeneracy of the genetic code in two manners: having more than one tRNA (with a specific anti-codon) for a particular amino acid; and 'wobble' base-pairing, i.e. permitting non-standard base-pairing at the 3rd anti-codon position. Lineage: Eukaryota; Bacillariophyta; Bacillariophyceae; Naviculales; Stauroneidaceae. The record is from Rfam by way of RNAcentral.
UUCCUAGUGGCGCAAUGGCAGCGCGUCUGACUUCUACUCCGAUAGUAUGAGCCAAUCAGAAGGUUUGCGGGUUCAAGUCCCGUCUAGGAAA